CUGAGGAGGCAGAGGACGGCCCGGAGUCUCGUAGCGCACCGCCCUGGUCCCACACCCCCCGCAGCCCUAGGAGGAUCGGUGUGCUGAGCUUGUGGCCAGGAGCUCCCCGAGCCACUUUCGCGCGAGCAGCAGAAAACCUGAGCCGCGGCCCGGCGAGUGUCGGCGGCGCUCUGGGGAGGAGAGGCUGGGAAGGGGCUGCGAGAGAUGCUACUUAAGAACGUGAGGCUGAGAGGCGGACUUGGUCAGAUCUGCCUGCGUGACAAGCUCAGGACAGGACGCUUCUGCCCUUGCAUUACUGUUGUAAAAGUUUCCACCCAGUCCCUGGUCGCACUGCGUUCCCAUCCCGGCAGAUGUGAACUCAAAAACUUCCUCCGCUGUGCAGUUUCAAUUGGCAGACACACCCUGUACCUGAAUGACUCAGAAGGAGGCAGAAUGAACAAACAACAGACCCCUGACUUCUGGGAUUUUGUGAGUUUGCCAAAAAAAAAAAAAAAAGAAGUGACAGUUAAUUCACAGCUGUUUUAAAGCAUUCAUCGACAGCGACGCACCCAAUACAUACCCACAGCUUCAACAACAGUACAGUGCAUAUAAUGUGGAAACCAAGAUAACGGUCCUCUAAGACUCCAGAGUAGAUCCUAAUUGGAUUUGAAGACUUAUUUCACUUAAAGGGGAAGAGGUAUAUUGUGUCUACCCAGCACAACAAAACGGGGGACUUGGCAUUCCCCCCCUUCUCCCGCCUCCACCCACACUAAUUUAUGCAUUCUUUAAAGCCAAAGGAAUCAAAGUGAAAUUUCACACCUAGUCUGUAUCAAGCAUGUGCUAGGUUAAUUUAACCUUACUGCUCUGUGAAGUAAGUAAGCAUUGCUGGCCAUUUUAUUGUUGAGAGAAGUGUCAUUCAGACAACUAAGGUGACUUGUAGAUUUCCCAGCUAGUGAGUGGCAGAGCUGGGUUCCAAAACCUAAAUAUUGCAAAUGCCUUGCCUUGUGGCUCAAACGCUAUCAGUCAAUAAAUAGUUAAGGAAUUGAAAUAUAUGUUCCUAGAGGGAAACAGACUUCUAGAUUUAAAGUUUUACAUUUGCUGCAUUUCUGACUGUACAAGUCUACAAAAUGCAUAUAAAAGUAUGCUAAUGAAUGUCCUUUUAAAACCACUCAUUUUCUACGUAAGCAUACAAAGUGUAUACAUAUGCAUAUUAAUGAAUGUUUUCUGAAACUUC
Homo sapiens (human) is the source of this 1213-nucleotide long non-coding RNA. RefSeq annotates it as S1PR1 divergent transcript. The transcript has 2 exons. The record is from RefSeq and is marked validated. NCBI's taxonomy places the organism in Eukaryota, Metazoa, Chordata, Mammalia, Primates, Hominidae.